RNAcentral lists this transfer RNA (76 nucleotides) under Planctomycetaceae bacterium. RNAcentral describes it as "tRNA-Pro". It matches the Rfam family "tRNA". Rfam says of the family: Transfer RNA (tRNA) molecules are approximately 80 nucleotides in length. Their secondary structure includes four short double-helical elements and three loops (D, anti-codon, and T loops). The record is from RNAcentral. Lineage: Bacteria; Pseudomonadati; Planctomycetota; Planctomycetia; Planctomycetales; Planctomycetaceae.
UGUGAUGUUGCUCAACUGGGAGAGCGUCAGCUUUGGGAGCUGAAGGUUGCGGGUUCGAGUCCCGUCAUUACGACCA